This 241-nucleotide unclassified non-coding RNA is filed under the name Lecanorales sp. Its description in RNAcentral is "partial contains 5.8S ribosomal RNA, internal transcribed spacer 2, and large subunit ribosomal RNA". Lineage: Eukaryota; Fungi; Ascomycota; Lecanoromycetes; Lecanorales. The record is from RNAcentral.
CGCACAUUGCGCCCCUUGGUAUUCCACUGGGCAUGCCUGUUCGAGCGUCAUCUACCACCUCAAGCUUUGCUUGGUGUUGGGUGUUUGUCCCCGCGUGCGCGGACUCGCCUUAAAUACAUUGGCAAUCGCUAUGCCGGCCUCCUACGCAGCAGUUUGCGCUCUCAAGGAGCUUCCAGCAGGCGUUCCACCAAGACCACCAGUCUUUGACCUCGAAUCAGGUAGGGAUACCCGCUGAACUUAA